GGAGGGUGCGAGCGUUGUUCGGAAUUACUGGGCGUAAAGCGCGUGUAGGCGGCCUUGCAAGUCAGGCGUGAAAGCCCUCGGCUUAACCGGGGAAGUGCGUCUGAAACUGCUUGGCUUGAGUACGGGAGAGGGAGGCGGAAUUCCCAGUGUAGAGGUGAAAUUCGUAGAUAUUGGGAGGAACACCGGUGGCGAAAGCGGCCUCCUGGACCGAUACUGACGCUGAGACGCGAAAGCGUGGGGAGCAAACAGGAUUAGAUACCCUGGUAGUCCACGCGGUAAACGAUGGGCACUAGGUGUGGGGGGUAUCCACUCCUCCCGUGCCGAAGCUAACGCAUUAAGUGCCCCGCCUGGGGAGUACGGCCGCAAGGUUA
Molecule: ribosomal RNA, 371 nt
Filed under: uncultured bacterium
Lineage: Bacteria
Description: bacterial SSU rRNA
Rfam family: Bacterial small subunit ribosomal RNA
Source: RNAcentral